AACGAACGCUGGCGGCAUGCCUAACACAUGCAAGUCGAACGAGACCUUCGGGUCUAGUGGCGCACGGGUGCGUAACGCGUGGGAACCUGCCUUUAGGUUCGGAAUAACUCAGAGAAAUUUGAGCUAAUACCGGAUGAUGUCUUCUGACCAAAGAUUUAUCGCCUUUAGAUGGGCCCGCGUUGAAUUAGCUAGUUGGUAGGGUAAUGGCAUACCAAGGCGACGAUCCAUAGCUGGUCUGAGAGGAUGAUCAGCCACACUGGGACUGAGACACGGCCCAGACUCCUACGGGAGGCAGCAGUGGGGAAUAUUGGACAAUGGGCGAAAGCCUGAUCCAGCAAUGCCGCGUGAGUGAUGAAGGCCUUAGGGUUGUAAAGCUCUUUUACCCGAGAUGAUAAUGACAGUAUCGGGAGAAUAAGCUCCGGCUAACUCCGUG
This 433-nucleotide ribosomal RNA is filed under the name uncultured bacterium. RNAcentral's name for it is "partial 16S ribosomal RNA". It matches the Rfam family "Bacterial small subunit ribosomal RNA", at positions 29 to 507 of the family's 1533-position model. The record is from RNAcentral.